Apodemus sylvaticus (European woodmouse) is the source of this 581-nucleotide long non-coding RNA. RefSeq lists it as uncharacterized. The record is from RefSeq and is a predicted model, not a curated record. The transcript is spliced from 3 exons. NCBI's taxonomy places the organism in Eukaryota, Metazoa, Chordata, Mammalia, Rodentia, Muridae.
UUUAUCCUUAGUUAAAAUAAUGUCUGUAAAGUUUCUUUUCUACUUGGAUGGUUUUAUCCUGUUGUAUCCAAUACCAUGUUGUGGGGCAGUAAUAUGUGUGAGCACUCUGUUCUCUGGGCUGUGAGGUGUGUGAGCACUCUGUUCUCUGGGCUGUGAGGUGUGUGAGCACUGUGUUCUCUGGGCUGUGAGGUGUGUGAGCACUCUGUUCUCUGGGCUGUGAGGUGUGUGAGCACUCUGUUCUCUGGGCUGUGAGGUGUGUGAGCACUCUGUUCUCUGGGCUGUGAGGUGUGUGAGCACUCUGUUCUCUGGGCUGUGAGGUGUGUGAGCACUCUGUUCUCUGGGCUGUGAGGUGUGUGAGCACUCUGUUCUCUGGGCUGUGAGGUGUGUGAGCACUCUGUUCUCUGGGCUGUGAGGUGUGUGAGCACUCUGUUCUCUGGGCUGUGAGGUGUGUGAGCACUCUGUUCUCUGGGCUGUGAGGUGUGUGAGCACUCUGUUCUCUGGGCUGUGAGGUGUGUGAGCACUCUGUUCUCUGGGCUGUGAGGUGUGUGAGCACUCUGUUCUCUGGGCUGCCCUUUACUCAU